AUGAACGCUGGCGGCGUGCUUAACACAUGCAAGUCGAACGAUGAAGCCCAGCUUGCUGGGUGGAUUAGUGGCGAACGGGUGAGUAACACGUGAGUAACCUGCCCUUAACUCUGGGAUAAGCCUGGGAAACUGGGUCUAAUACCGGAUAGGAGCGCCUACCGCAUGGUGGGUGUUGGAAAGAUUUAUCGGUUUUGGAUGGGCUCGCGGCCUAUCAGCUUGUUGGUGAGGUAAUGGCUCACCAAGGCGACGACGGGUAGCCGGCCUGAGAGGGUGACCGGCCACACUGGGACUGAGACACGGCCCAGACUCCUACGGGAGGCAGCAGUGGGGAAUAUUGCACAAUGGGCGAAAGCCUGAUGCAGCGACGCCGCGUGAGGGAUGACGGCCUUCGGGUUGUAAACCUCUUUCAGUAGGGAAGAAGCGAAAGUGACGGUACCUGCAGAAGAAGCACCGGCUAACUACGUG
RNAcentral lists this ribosomal RNA (465 nucleotides) under uncultured bacterium. Its description in RNAcentral is "partial 16S ribosomal RNA". It matches the Rfam family "Bacterial small subunit ribosomal RNA", at positions 29 to 507 of the family's 1533-position model. The record is from RNAcentral.